This 173-nucleotide non-coding RNA is filed under the name human gut metagenome. The record is from RNAcentral.
AACUUAGUAGAUGAAAAGGGAACCCGGUUAGAAUCCGGGACAACCGCCAUUACUGUAUUUGACGUAAGAGAACACCUGCCAUUGGAAAAGCUCCUGCUUUUCUGAGAAGGCGCAUCUUCCUGUGCAUUAAUUUUGUGCAGGAUCAUAAGUCAGGAUACCUGCCGUAUUUUUUG